UAGGGAAUCUUCCACAAUGGACGCAAGUCUGAUGGAGCAACGCCGCGUGAGUGAAGAAGGUCUUCGGAUCGUAAAGCUCUGUUGUUGGUGAAGAAGGAUAGAGGCAGUAACUGGUCUUUAUUUGACGGUAAUCAACCAGAAAGUCACGGCUAACUACGUGCCAGCAGCCGCGGUAAUACGUAGGUGGCAAGCGUUGUCCGGAUUUAUUGGGCGUAAAGCGAGCGCAGGCGGAAUGAUAAGUCUGAUGUGAAAGCCCACGGCUCAACCGUGGAACUGCAUCGGAAACUGUCAUUCUUGAGUGCAGAAGAGGAGAGUGGAACUCCAUGUGUAGCGGUGGAAUGCGUAGAUAUAUGGAAGAACACCAGUGGCGAAGGCGGCUCUCUGGUCUGCAACUGACGCUGAGGCUCGAAAGCAUGGGUAGCGAACAGGAUUAGAUACCCUGGUAGUCCAUGCCGUAAACGAUGAGCGCUAGGUGUUGGGGACUUUCCGGUCCUCAGUGCCGCAGCAAACGCAUUAAGCGC
Molecule: ribosomal RNA, 521 nt
Filed under: uncultured bacterium
Lineage: Bacteria
Description: partial 16S ribosomal RNA
Rfam family: Bacterial small subunit ribosomal RNA
Source: RNAcentral